GGGGGGGGGGGGGGGGGGGGGGGGGGGGGGCGGGGGGGGGGAAGGGGGGGGGCGCGUGCGGCGCGGAGGGUGGCGGCGGACGGGGGAGUGGCCCGUGGGUAGGCUAGCUCUACGACUGGGAUAACUUCGGGAAACCGGAGCUAAUCCCGGAUAAUCUAUUGAACCGCAUGGUUCAAUAGUGCAAGACGGGUUUGCUGUCACUUCUAGAUGGAUCCGCGCCGCAUUAGCUAGUUGGUAAGGGAACGGCUUACCCAGGCGACGAUGCGUAGCCGACCUGAGAGGGUGAUCGGCCACACUGGAACUGAGACACGGUCCAGACUCCUACGGGAGGCAGCAGUAGGGAAUCUUCCGCAAUGGGCGAAAGCCUGACGGAGCAACGCCGCGUGAGUGAUGAAGGUCUUCGGAUCGUAAAACUCUGUUAUUAGGGAAGAACAAAUGUGUAAGUAACUAUGCACGUCUUGACGGUACCUAAUCAGAAAGCCACGGCUAACUACGUG
This 497-nucleotide ribosomal RNA is filed under the name uncultured bacterium. RNAcentral describes it as "partial 16S ribosomal RNA". It matches the Rfam family "Bacterial small subunit ribosomal RNA", at positions 27 to 507 of the family's 1533-position model. The record is from RNAcentral.